Molecule: long non-coding RNA, 907 nt
Filed under: Homo sapiens (human)
Lineage: Eukaryota; Metazoa; Chordata; Mammalia; Primates; Hominidae
Description: non-protein coding lnc-NUTM1-11:3
Source: RNAcentral
AAUUUCAGGGCCGUUGUCGCCUCCGGGCGGUCCGCGGGUCCCGAGCGGACUGGGACUCUGGAGACGUGCCCCCAACCCCACCGCCAUUCACCCUGUCAUUGCAGGGGAGAGAACAGAAUAAAGACGGAUUAAAGAACAAGGAGAUGGCUGGCUAUUUAAGAAGGAAAGGCAGAGGCUGCAGAAAUUGAGCCUAACGGCUUAUCAGAUGGGAUGGAUAAUUCUUUAAGUUUAAAAGAACUACUCAUUUUCCCCAACAUCUGUCUUUGCCAUCUUCCUAUCUAAGGAACCUUUCACUUUUUAGCUGGGGACAUAGCUUUCUGGUAUGAGAACUACACUGCUCAAACUUCCAAUCAGCUUGUAUGCACUUGGUGAAUCUUACCUACCACAAACAGAAGUCUGGAAAGUGAAAAUUUAUUUCCUUUUCACCAUGACCAGCCUUGUUCAGAACAUCUGAGAGGCACAGACCUGAGAAAGAAUCCCCAGGCUGAAGAGGUAGAAGUUGGCAGAAGUUAAAAGCAAUGUCUCCACAAUGGAGAAGUGACAUGCUAAAGGAACCUGGCAUCUAGACAUUUCCUAACCCCCAAUCCCUCCUUACAUAUGACCUGCUCUUAGAGGAGUACAGCGUGGUGGUUAGGAGUGUGGACUCGGCAGCCAGAAAUCCUGGGAUCUGUUGCUUGUUAGCUGUGGGCCUUAAGCUAAGAACUUAACCUCUCUGUGCCUCAGUUGCUCCAUCUGUUCAAAUGAAGAUAAUGAUAAUGAAGAUGAUAUCACCUGCUGUGUAGGAUUGUUAUGAAAAAUCAAGAAUUAAUAUUUGUAAAUCACUUACAGGGUCUGGCACAUAAUAAGUGCUGUGUGGGUGUUUGUUAAAUAAAAUAAUAUACAAUGACAUAGGCAUUGUGGUUGUUCU